RNAcentral lists this transfer RNA (74 nucleotides) under Parcubacteria group bacterium 21-54-25. RNAcentral describes it as "tRNA-Gln". It matches the Rfam family "tRNA". Rfam says of the family: Transfer RNA (tRNA) molecules are approximately 80 nucleotides in length. Their secondary structure includes four short double-helical elements and three loops (D, anti-codon, and T loops). The record is from RNAcentral.
UGCGGGAUCGUCUAAUGGUAGGACCGCGGCCUUUGGAGCCGUUAAUCUUGGUUCGAAUCCAAGUCCCGCAGCCU